CCCGUGCGCCUAAAGGCGUGCGGGGUUCUGUAAUGCAGCCGAGGACGGUCACAAGCCCGUGUAAAUGCAGAGUGCAGA
RNAcentral lists this non-coding RNA (78 nucleotides) under unclassified sequences. The record is from RNAcentral.